This is a non-coding RNA of Rattus norvegicus (Norway rat), 1348 nucleotides long. The record is from RefSeq and is a predicted model, not a curated record. Lineage: Eukaryota; Metazoa; Chordata; Mammalia; Rodentia; Muridae.
AGUAGAAAAUUGAUGAGAAAUACUUCUACCUGUAGUCACAGAUUGCUGCAACCUACCUUUAAUAAGGGUUCAACCUCUCUUCUAGCUCACGAUCCUGCAGAAAGAGUGUAAGAGAAGAGUUAUUAGGCUGUGAGGGAAGUGGACCUGCUAGUAAUAGUUCUUUGAGGGCUGGCUUGAUCUUCUUUUUCAGUGGUUCAGUCCUGUAGCAAACAUUAAACAUGACUCAGCAGCUGCAGACCAGUUCUCUAGGCAUGAAGACACAACACACGAAACGGCAGUUACAGUCCAAGUCCUCUUGGCUGGCAGACACCAUGCACGAACCAGAACCAACAACUAUAGUUCAAUCCUGAAGGAACUGCCAGGCUUGCCCACUGGCCUGACACAAGGCCACCGAAGCAGCAAGCCGCUGAAGGAACCUCAUGAGCAAUUCUUGGGCGAGUUUCUCUCUAUGGCAGUGUUAUCACAAGGUGAUCUCAACGAUGCUAUGUAAAGCGAACCAAAACGUGUGUCCUUAGCAAAGAGGCAGAGCAGACUAAACCAACGCUCAGUGCUUGUCUUUCACCGUCUGGCGGGUCCUAUGUACGUCUUCAUCAAGGGUCCUUUCACGUGUUUGGUAUAUCAAAACACUCUUUCACUUGGGUCUGCUUCAGGAAAACAUAUUCUUUCCUGUGUCUGCUUCAGCAAAACGUCCUUUCACCUGUAUCUGCUUCAGGAAAACAUUCUUUCACGUGUCGGCUUUAGCAAGACAUCCUUUCACCUGUGUGCCCCUGAAAAGAGUCAUUUGACAUAAUUGACUUUCCAAAGAAACCAGAAGUUUCCUUUUCAUGUACCAGAGAAGGUCUGAAGUAUAUAUGAUGUUUCCCUGCAUAUUCUUCCUGCCAGGAACAAAGCCACAUUUCCCUGAUUUCCCUGCUAUGAAGGAUUGAAGACUAAUCCAUAAGUCCAAAUACCUUUCUCUCCAUAGACUGUUCAGUAUUUCAUCACUAAAUGUAAAAGUACUAAGUACAUAAACUUCACACCGGAGUGGGGAAUUGAUAUGCUGUAAGAAUGUGAAAGAAUCUGGAGAUAUGGGGCAGAGGAAGCUAGAAUAACGUGUGACGAGCCAUUACGGCAGAUCUCAGAAAAUGCAAAGAAAGAAUGUAUUCAUGCGGUUUCAGCUGAGAGCAAGGGCUACACUGGGAACUGGGCUAGAAGCUAUUUAUCCGUGCUGCACUCUCACAAAUGACCUGACUGUGGUAGAUCUGACUGUCCUGAAAAAUCUGAAUAGGGCUGAACCAAAAGUACUAAAUUGGUCUAUUUGAAAGAGAACAUUCCAAGAUAACAUGAUGUUCAGUUUGUACCAUUGUUA